CAAAUGCAUAAAUAACAUGAUUUAUAUAAGUGGCUAUUUACAUAAUUUGCCAACGACAGUGUCUGAUGCUAGUCCUGCGUAUUCUUGAAACAAACAUCAAUAAUGAAUUAACACUUUACAAUUUAAAUAAUCAGAAAUAAAUAUUACAAGGUUAUGAUUAAUUCUUUUACUACUUCGAAUCUAUUGAGAUCUGCCCAAUUUUUAUAUCGUCAGCACCAUUUCUUUUGAAAUGAAGAUAUUCUCAAGCCAACAACACACACUCAUACAUUUUAAAUAGCCGAGGAACUUUACUGUCUUAAUAUUUUUUUAAAAUGAUCCUCACAACAUGAUUAAAUCAACAUUCAUUUCAAUGCAUCAGUAACCUAUUUCAAAUACAAGGGUGGAUAAAAUACGUUUAAACUAGGUGAUAUAGAACAUGCCAAUCACACAGACAUUGAACGGAAAUUUAAACUCAAAACGUCAUGCUUGAACAUGCAAAUUUCAUAGCAGACAAUCAAAAAUCAAACAUUUAGAUUUAAACCCUUUAAGAAUACACUACAGAUAUUUCAAUCACUGGACCUAAAGAGAAUAGCUUGAAGCAAUUCCGACACAGAAACAACAGCGAGCAAAGCGAGAUUCCCCAGCUUCCAUGUACGAAAAUCAUUCUCAUGUUCUUUAUAAAACUCAAACAAAACAUGGAUUAAAAGUAACAGGCCAACAUCCAGUUAAAAAAAACAAGUAACAGAAAACCAUAAGAAAAGAAAACAAAUGAAACUCAAAUAGCAAUCUUCCUUUAUAGCAAUUAUAGAAUCAACAAAUACACUGUUUUCUUGACUCCAAAAUUCCAGCGAGAUUCAACAACAGUAUCGAGUAGAACUUGCAAGCCAAAUCAAAAUUUCGAAACCCCACUUCGGACAAAAUCGACAGAGUGCAGAAAAUUCAAAACUCCACCCCAAUCUUCAACUUGAGGAUUUAAACCAAACUUCCUUUCUAAAGAAAGAACAGAAAUCAAGAGAAAAAGAAAACAAUGUUAGAAGAGAUCUGUUUCAGCAAUCUUUUUUUUUUGUUUUUUGAUUUUUUUCUCUUAAAACAAAACAAAGCUUGAAUGAAAACUAAACUCAAGCCAUAUAUUUUUUUUGUGUAUCUUUUCAGAAAAAAAAAAUGACAAAGAAGACUGAAGAAGAUAAAGGAAAAGAAAACUUGAAGGAAAGUGACGACUAAAAACCUCAUAUAUAUAGCCUUCAAAAACUUUCAAAAUCUGCCCAAUUUUGAAAAAAUCUUCAGGAUUUUUGAACAAUUUUGGGACAAAUGGAGGGCGUGGAUUGAUUCACAUCUAUCUACGGUUCCCAUUCAUCUAACAAUUGUCCUUUUUGUACAGAAAUUCAUAUGAUUUAGGAGAGAAUAUUCGAAUUCCUUCUGACAAAAACCAUUAGGAAUCAAAUAACGUGGAGGGAGGGACCAUUUUGAGUGAACUCGGGUGAGCUCUAGGCGAGUUGGGGUCGGGCUCAGUGAAGAAGAUGAACAGUAGUGCCGGAUUCCCUGAUUCUCUAGGGUUCCUGAU
RNAcentral lists this long non-coding RNA (1540 nucleotides) under Nicotiana tabacum (common tobacco). RNAcentral's name for it is "long non-coding RNA (NTAB_LNC007269)". Lineage: Eukaryota; Viridiplantae; Streptophyta; Magnoliopsida; Solanales; Solanaceae. The record is from RNAcentral.